Molecule: long non-coding RNA, 1099 nt
Filed under: Homo sapiens (human)
Lineage: Eukaryota; Metazoa; Chordata; Mammalia; Primates; Hominidae
Description: HSALNT0324478
Source: RNAcentral
CUUCCGGUCUGAACAGUGAACUCCUCCGCAUGGACUCACGGGUUCACCUCCUUCCGGUCUGAACAGUGAACGCCUCCGCAUCGACUCACGGGUUCACCUCCUUCCGGUCUGAACAGUGAACUCCUCCGCAUGGACUCACGGGUUCACCUCCUUCCGGUCUGAACAGUGAACUCCUCCGCAUCGACUCACGGGUUCACCUCCUUCCGGUCUGAACAGUGAACUCCUCCGCAUGGACUCACGGGUUCACCUCCUUCCGGUCUGAACAGUGAACUCCGCAUCGACUCACGCGUUCACCUCCUUCCGGUCUAAAUGGUAAACUCCUCUGCAUUUUCUGUUCGGUUCUAUUUUGGUGGGGCCCACGCGUCAUCACAGAGUAUCUGGGAGCCCUGCCCUCUUGCAGAUGGGAAUGAAGGCCCAGGUGCUCUGGAGAGGUGACUCUCCUCUAGUUGUCUCGCUUCUCAGAAAGGAAACACUGGUUCUGUAAACCUGUUUGAGAAGAAAAGCUCGAGGUUUCUUGGCCUCUCUGCUUCUGGAGCCAGGGGAAAAAAUAGCCCCAGGCUGAAGACAGGAGGGACCAGAUUGCUGCUUGGUGAUGCGAUCUCACUGCAGAGGCAGCCAGGAGACCCUCCUGAGACGAAUCGGAGAGUCCAUGCUGCUUUUACACACAUCCUAGUUCUUUUAUAACUAGCCUUUUCCUAUUAACGGACAUCAUUCAAAAGCCAGUUUUAAGCAACAUAAAUAUUGAAAACAAUACUAUACUAUUUAGAAUUAAUUAUAAGUUUUGUUUUUAAAGCCUAAAUCUUUUAUUGUUGUUUGAACCCUGGGCACUGAAGCUAAUAAUGUAACUUUUCUCCCUUCUUUCUUCUUUGGCAUAGAUUUAAAGAACUGUUAGACUCAUUUAAAAUGCUAUUAGGCAUUUUAAAGAGUAAUUGUUAAAUGUGUUGUCUCUUGUGGGACUGGAAAUGUUCUGUUCUUAUCUGGCGCUGGUUACAUCCUGUUUUUCAUUUGGGAAAGUGCAUUGAGCUGGAAAUUUAUAUGUUCAAUUUCUGUAUGUAAAUUGUACUUCAGUAAAAAUUUUCAAAAAAGUGGCUGCCUUUUA